GAAAGUCCAAGGGUUCCUGCGCAAGGCUAAUCCGCGCAGGGUCAGUCGGCCCCUAAGACGAGGGCGACAGCCGUAGUCGAUGGGAAUCAGGUUAAUAUUCCUGAACCUGGUGGUAGUGACGACCGUGAAGUGUUGUAUCCCCUUACUGGAUUGGGGGUGCUGCUGGAUCGGUCCAGGAAAGAGCUCCACCGUUAAGACCGUACCCCAAACCGACACAG
Molecule: ribosomal RNA, 218 nt
Filed under: uncultured Pelagophyceae
Lineage: Eukaryota; Pelagophyceae
Description: partial Bacterial large subunit ribosomal RNA
Rfam family: Bacterial large subunit ribosomal RNA
Source: RNAcentral